GCACCGCCGUGUGCCAGCGCUGCCCAGAGCUCCGGGACAGCGCCCUGUGCUUGUUCCGCCUGAGCAGAGCUUCUCCUAACGUACUCUUGGAGAGCAGGGAAUGAGCUUAAGGAUGGCUAAUCCAGGCUGAAUCCUACAGUGAAAACAAGUCCUUUACCUCAAGUAUCACUGAAGUCUUUCCUCCCCUCCCAAACCCCCGGCUUCCCCAUCAUUCAGCAGCAGACGAUAUUCUCCUGGCGCAGACUAGAGCGGGGAAUAUUAAUUGUGCUGUAAUGACAACUCUCCUCUCAGAACCUGGCCUUCUGUUCAGUGUAAAUGAAGGGCAAUCUGUGGCCUAUCAACAGACUGUUUCCUUUGGGAAAACAGCCUCACACUUCUCAGAUUUCCCUUUACACUACUGUCUGUUGGUAUCUUUUCCUACCUCAAGAUCUGCUACAUUGCUGUAAAAGGUUUUUUUUCUCUUUAAUUAAUUUCUUUCAGCUCUGUCAGGAUAGAGGGUAAUUAAAUGCUUCAGUAUCUUGUCAUAAAAAUGCCACUUUUCAGAGGAAUUGUCUUAAUGAGCCUGUUUUUCAGUAUAGCAGAGGCUCAUCUAUUAGUCCAGUGUAUAUUUUUAGAGCAUGGCAUUAGCCAGAAAAGCCCAUUAGAUCGUUAUACAAGUGGCUGAAUCAGCAAACUGUAUCUUCUGCUAUUCUGUCAAAGCAAUAACGUUAACAUUAUCAAAGUGAUUAAAAGCCAUUCAUUCAUUUUGCAUCUGGGUUGACAAGUUCAUUCCUGCACAGGCAUUCAGUGCAAAGCUGUGAGAAAGGAAAACUAAAAGCUCAUCAUCUCCCUCAACCUGAAGAUCUACCAGUGUGUGACAGAUGCAAUCAAAAUAUGACAAUUGAGUGGAACACCGGAUGCCUGUGCUCUGUCACAUCAUGGAUUAUCACUGGCAAAGCAAAAUCAGCCUUACCCUAGGACCUUUUAUAAGGAUUUGCAUCUUUCUGCAGCCAAAGAAGCUGUGUGUGCUGGAAGACACAGAAAGCCUUGUCCUUCAGCUCUGGGUCAUCUUCCUGGAGCUUCAGAUCAACGGUGGUGCUGCUGGCCUUUCCUUUGGGGUUGUUGCAGGUGUGUUUGGCCAGUGGCUUUCCUGGAUCUCCUGCUCGGGAGCCAUGAGGGCUGGGUACCCCAGUAUCAGUUCUUGGCCUUGGCAAGGCUGUUUGUCCAAUGUUUAUACAGAGAGCAGAAGCAGUGGGAGGGAUAAACAAGUGUUGGCUUCACUGUCAUAACCUUUCUGAAAAACUGAGUAGACAGAAAGCUUUGAUUCUUGGGGCUGCCUGGGGAAGCUGCUCAAUAAACUUGCUUACAACAAGUGCAGCAUAUCCAAAUCUUUCCCAUGGACAGGACACGAUCCAGUGGUAAAGGGCAUGGGAGCUGCAAGAGCAGUCCCUGAGGCUGAGGCUGGUCUAACCUAAGAUUGAGAGAUUUGCAUGUAGGGGCCUCUGGUUUCUGCUAACAGAUAUAAAGCAGCUUUGAGUCCUGUAAGUCAAAUGGUGCAUCAAGGAAGGAAAAGACAGAGGAGAAGAAGGGCAAGCUGUUACUUGGUAAAAAUCCACCACCUGAUUCCAUCAGUGAACCCACCUACUCAGCUCUGGACAGUACCUGAAAGUGUUGAAUUGCAUUAAAAAGCAAACCAAUGAGUUAUCACACUGGGGGUCUGUUGGAUCAUUGCAGCCAGCCUUCUGCUGUCACAGGUGCAACUGUAUUCAGUCUCUUUCCCAAACCUGACAAGUUCUGUCUUAAAACUGGUAACAAUUACUCCCACUGGAAUUCUGUUAUGAAACCUGCACAUCUCACACUUAUAAAGAGGAGAUGCUGUUUAGCUCUUCAAGUCUUUUCACUGUUGCUGUGCUGCUGGCAAGGGCACUUUGACCAUGUGGGACUGGUAACAAGCUGGAGCUGUGCCCUCAGCUUGCCUCAGCUACAGAUUGCAUGGCUGCCAUGGCUGUAGUCUCCUCAGUUGUGUGCCCUUUCUCUUGGUAAAGAACAACACAUCUGGGUUUUCUGUCUCAAUAAACUGACAUGCUCUCACAGGAGGAGUAUAGCCCUUCACCAA
Molecule: long non-coding RNA, 2095 nt
Organism: Cyanistes caeruleus (blue tit)
Lineage: Eukaryota; Metazoa; Chordata; Aves; Passeriformes; Paridae
Source: RefSeq, a predicted model, not a curated record